UUUUCAACAACUUUGCGGCUCGUGAAGUCGGUUUCUUCCCACCUCACGUGUUUCGGGAGAUUGGCAGCGCACGCUUCUUCUGCACCAACUGCGGUGGUUUGUGGUCCAAAGAGCAAAAGCAUUGGACGGACCGAUUGAUUCGACCGUUUCUCGGCUGUCGGACGGUACCGUUCGACGUGCAUUGUAAAGGAAUUCGUCUCGUAAAGCAACAAGAACAAGAAGAAGAAGAAGAAGAUGGAGGAGAUGGAUCAUCAGUGUCACUCUGUGACUGAAGAAGACUAUUACGAAUGGCUACUGACGGGAGAUCUGCCCUUGGUCCUAACCUUCAAGCCUCCUCCGAAGACGUUCUUUUUGCGGAUUGGUGAUCAGCUGAGAACCUGUCGUUGCGGUGGACUUUGGUCGAGAAACCCCAGCCAUUGGUUAGACUCGAGCCUUCGCCCGUAUUUGGGCUGUCUUCCCGGCUACGAAACCAAAGCUGGAGGCUAACUCUCUCUCUCUCUCUCUCUCAUGUAACCUCUCACGAUA
Ornithodoros turicata is the source of this 525-nucleotide long non-coding RNA. RefSeq lists it as uncharacterized. Lineage: Eukaryota; Metazoa; Arthropoda; Arachnida; Ixodida; Argasidae. The record is from RefSeq and is a predicted model, not a curated record. The transcript is spliced from 3 exons.